Molecule: long non-coding RNA, 418 nt
Filed under: Ananas comosus (pineapple)
Lineage: Eukaryota; Viridiplantae; Streptophyta; Magnoliopsida; Poales; Bromeliaceae
Description: long non-coding RNA (ACOM_LNC032893)
Source: RNAcentral
AAUAAUUUUUAUAUUCUUAAGAAAUAUGAAUAUUUAUGCUAAUAGCAUAAAUUUUGAGAGAAAAAAACUUAAUUUAAUAGCCGAAUUUUUUAUCCCGAAUUUUUAAUUGGUGAACGUAUAAUAUCCGUAUAAAUCACGUAUCCGAUUAAUUGACAAAUCCUUUUUUUAGCCGUAUUUGUCAAUGAAUUUUAAAAUUAGAAGACGAAUUUUAUCCGAAUUAUACCUGUAUCGAAUUUUUGCCAAAUCUGAAUUAACUAACUAUGUAUGAUAAACCUGUAAAACUAAAUAAUGCAUUCAAAUUUUGAAGUUAAAGUAUCACUGAUGGAGUCAAAUCUAACAUAAAAAAGGUUGAAUAGUAAAAAUAAAAUUUUGAAAAGUUGGAUAGCUGAUUCAAAAUGGUUUGUAUUUUAAAAAUAUU